Molecule: ribosomal RNA, 353 nt
Filed under: uncultured bacterium
Lineage: Bacteria
Description: bacterial SSU rRNA
Rfam family: Bacterial small subunit ribosomal RNA
Source: RNAcentral
AGAGUUUGAUCAUGGCUCAGGAUGAACGCUAGCUACAGGCUUAACACAUGCAAGUCGAGGGGAAACGACAUCGAAAGCUUGCUUUUGAUGGGCGUCGACCGGCGCACGGGUGAGUAACGCGUAUCCAACCUGCCCAUCACUUGGGGAUAACCUUGCGAAAGUAAGACUAAUACCCAAUGAUAUCUCUAGAAGACAUCUGAAAGAGAUUAAAGAUUUAUCGGUGAUGGAUGGGGAUGCGUCUGAUUAGCUUGUUGGCGGGGUAACGGCCCACCAAGGCUACGAUCAGUAGGGGUUCUGAGAGGAAGGUCCCCCACAUUGGAACUGAGACACGGUCCAAACUCCUACGGGAGACA